Molecule: ribosomal RNA, 253 nt
Filed under: uncultured bacterium
Lineage: Bacteria
Description: partial 16S ribosomal RNA
Rfam family: Bacterial small subunit ribosomal RNA
Source: RNAcentral
UACGAAGGGGACUAGCGUUGUUCGGAAUCACUGGGCGUAAAGCGCACGUAGGCGGCUUUCUAAGUCAGGGGUGAAAUCCUGGAGCUCAACUCCAGAACUGCCUUUGAUACUGGAGAGCUUGAGUCCGGGAGAGGUGAGUGGAACUCCGAGUGUAGAGGUGAAAUUCGUAGAUAUUCGGAAGAACACCAGUGGCGAAGGCGGCUCACUGGCCCGGUACUGACGCUGAUGUGCGAAAGCGUGGGGAGCAAACAGG